RNAcentral lists this ribosomal RNA (824 nucleotides) under Pezizomycetes sp. RNAcentral's name for it is "eukaryotic LSU rRNA". The stretch from base 230 to 824 matches the Rfam family "Eukaryotic large subunit ribosomal RNA", at positions 1 to 590 of the family's 3401-position model. Lineage: Eukaryota; Fungi; Ascomycota; Pezizomycetes. The record is from RNAcentral.
CUUUUGCUUGGAUUAUUUCGGACAAGCAGUCCCAUUUGUGGAUUGCCGCCCGCAAAUUCAUAGGCAGUAUGGUCUUCGUUCCCCCCUUCGUUUCCAAUGCUGAGCGUAAUAACUUUAAAAACGAUCACGCCCAUACCAAGUUUGGAAAAGUGAAGAGAAUGAUCAUCGUACUCGCCCCAACAACCCACCCCACUUCAACAUGGUUUUUUUUCACGAAAAUCAUUCCGGGUGACCUCAGAUCAGGUAGGGAUACCCGCUGAACUUAAGCAUAUCAAUAAGCGGAGGAAAAGAAACCAACAGGGAUUGCCUCAGUAACGGCGAGUGAAGCGGCAAAAGCUCAGAUUUGGAAUCUGGCGUCACCUUCUGGCGUCCGAGUUGUAAUCUGCAGAGGGGCAUUCGAGUGUGGCGAUGGCUUAAGUUUCUUGGAACAGGACGUCAUAGAGGGUGAGAACCCCGUUAACGGCCCUUUGUCUUAUGCUCAUGUGAAUCUCCUUCGACGAGUCGAGUUGUUUGGGAAUGCAGCUCUAAAUGGGUGGUAAAUUCCAUCUAAAGCUAAAUACUGGCAAGAGACCGAUAGCGCACAAGUAGAGUGAUCGAAAGAUGAAAAGAACUCUGAACAGAGAGUCAAAUAGUACGUGAAAUUGUUGAAAGGGAAGCACUUGCUACCAGACACGCCUGCGGUCGAUCAGCCUUCACUCUGUGAUGGUGCACUCGGCCUGCAUUGGUGGGUCAGCAUCAGUUGUGGCGGCGGGAUAAAGGCCUGGGGAAUGUGGCUUCUCUCGGGAAGUGUUAUAGCCCUGCGGCGCAAUACCGCCUGCACGCGA